RNAcentral lists this ribosomal RNA (490 nucleotides) under uncultured bacterium. Its description in RNAcentral is "bacterial SSU rRNA". It matches the Rfam family "Bacterial small subunit ribosomal RNA", at positions 501 to 989 of the family's 1533-position model. The record is from RNAcentral.
CUACGUGCCAGCAGCCGCGGUAAUACGUAGGUGGCAAGCGUUGUCCGGAAUUAUUGGGCGUAAAGGGCUUGUAGGCGGUUGGUCGCGUCUGCCGUGAAAUCCUCUGGCUUAACUGGGGGCGUGCGGUGGGUACGGGCUGACUUGAGUGCGGUAGGGGAGACUGGAACUCCUGGUGUAGCGGUGGAAUGCGCAGAUAUCAGGAAGAACACCGGUGGCGAAGGCGGGUCUCUGGGCCGUUACUGACGCUGAGGAGCGAAAGCGUGGGGAGCGAACAGGAUUAGAUACCCUGGUAGUCCACGCUGUAAACGUUGGGCACUAGGUGUGGGGGCCACCCGUGGUUUCUGCGCCGUAGCUAACGCUUUAAGUGCCCCGCCUGGGGAGUACGGCCGCAAGGCUAAAACUCAAAGGAAUUGACGGGGGCCCGCACAAGCGGCGGAGCAUGCGGAUUAAUUCGAUGCAACGCGAAGAACCUUACCAAGGCUUGACAUGC